GCUGAAUAUACCGGUUCUCGUUAGAUCACCAGUUAAGCAUCAUUGGGCCGGUCAGUACUUGGGUGGGUGACCACCUGGGAACACUGCGUGCCGUU
RNAcentral lists this ribosomal RNA (95 nucleotides) under Caerostris darwini. The record is from RNAcentral. Lineage: Eukaryota; Metazoa; Arthropoda; Arachnida; Araneae; Araneidae.